RNAcentral lists this ribosomal RNA (460 nucleotides) under uncultured bacterium. RNAcentral describes it as "partial 16S ribosomal RNA". It matches the Rfam family "Bacterial small subunit ribosomal RNA", at positions 338 to 795 of the family's 1533-position model. The record is from RNAcentral.
CCUACGGGAGACUGCAGUGAGGAAUAUUGGUCAAUGGGCGAGAGUCUGAACCAGCCAAGUCGCGUGAAGGAUGAAGGAUCUAUGGUUUGUAAACUUCUUUUAUAUGGGAAUAAAGUGAGGAACGUGUUCCUUUUUGUAUGUACCAUAUGAAUAAGCAUCGGCUAACUCCGUGCCAGCAGCCGCGGUAAUACGGAGGAUGCGAGCGUUAUCCGGAUUUAUUGGGUUUAAAGGGUGCGUAGGUGGUUAAUUAAGUCAGCGGUGAAAGUUUGUGGCUCAACCAUAAAAUUGCCGUUGAAACUGGUUGACUUGAGUGUAUUUGAGGUAGGCGGAAUGCGUGGUGUAGCGGUGAAAUGCAUAGAUAUCACGCAGAACUCCGAUUGCGAAGGCAGCUUACUAAACUAUAACUGACACUGAAGCACGAAAGCGUGGGGAUCAAACAGGAUUAGAUACCCCAGUAGUC